Molecule: ribosomal RNA, 497 nt
Filed under: uncultured bacterium
Lineage: Bacteria
Description: partial 16S ribosomal RNA
Rfam family: Bacterial small subunit ribosomal RNA
Source: RNAcentral
GAUGAACGCUGGCGGCGUGCCUAAUACAUGCAAGUCGAGCGAACGGACGAGAAGCUUGCUUCUCUGAUGUUAGCGGCGGACGGGUGAGUAACACGUGUAUAACCUACCUAUAAGACUGGGAUAACUUCGGGAAACCGGAGCUAAUACCGGAUAAUAUUUUGAACCGCAUGGUUCAAAAGUGAAAGACGGUCUUGCUGUCACUUAUAGAUGGAUCCGCGCUGCAUUAGCUAGUUGGUAAGGUAACGGCUUACCAAGGCAACGAUGCAUAGCCGACCUGAGAGGGUGAUCGGCCACACUGGAACGGAGACACGGUCCAGACUCCUACGGGAGGCAGCAGUAGGGAAUCUUCCGCAAUGGGCGAAAGCCUGACGGAGCAACGCCGCGUGAGUGAUGAAGGUCUUCGGAUCGUAAAACUCUGUUAUUAGGGAAGAACAUAUGUGUAAGUAACUGUGCACAUCUUGACGGUACCUAAUCAGAAAGCCACGGCUAACUACGUG